Molecule: ribosomal RNA, 473 nt
Filed under: uncultured Pelotomaculum sp.
Lineage: Bacteria; Bacillati; Bacillota; Clostridia; Eubacteriales; Desulfotomaculaceae
Description: bacterial SSU rRNA
Rfam family: Bacterial small subunit ribosomal RNA
Source: RNAcentral
UUGACGGGGCCCGCACAAGCGGUGGAGCAUGUGGUUUAAUUCGACGCAACGCGAAGAACUUACCAGGGCUUGACAUCCCCUGACCGCGUAUGAAAGUACGUUUUCACCCUCGGGUGACAGGGAGACAGGUGGUGCAUGGUUGUCGUCAGCUCGUGUCGUGAGAUGUUGGGUUAAGUCCCGCAACGAGCGCAACCCCUACGUUUAGUUGCUAACGCGUGAAGGCGAGCACUCUAGACGAACUGCCGUUGACAAAACGGAGGAAGGUGGGGAUGACGUCAAAUCAUCAUGCCCCUUAUGUUCUGGGCUACACACGUGCUACAAUGGCCGGUACAGACGGACGCAAAGCCGCGAGGUGGAGCAAAUCCUAAAAGGCCGGUCUCAGUUCGGAUUGCAGGCUGCAAUUCGCCUGCAUGAAGUCGGAAUCGCUAGUAAUCGCAGGUCAGCAUACUGCGGUGAAUACGUUCCCGGGCCUU